Molecule: ribosomal RNA, 490 nt
Filed under: uncultured bacterium
Lineage: Bacteria
Description: bacterial SSU rRNA
Rfam family: Bacterial small subunit ribosomal RNA
Source: RNAcentral
CAUGCAAGUCGAACGGAAGUCGUUGUAAUGAUAUAGACACGGACAGAGAACUUGUUCAAAGAAAGUGAAAGUUGACUUACAACAAUGGCUUUAGUGGCGGACUGGUGAGUAACACGUAAGCAACCUGCCUAUCAGAGGGGAAUAACAGUGAGAAAUCAUUGCUAAUACCGCAUAUGCUAACAGUAUCGCAUGAUACAGUUAGGAAAGGAGCAAUCCGCUGAUAGAUGGGCUUGCGUCUGAUUAGCUAGUUGGUGGGGUAACGGCCUACCAAGGCGACGAUCAGUAGCCGAGCUGAGAGGCUCAACGGCCACAUUGGGACUGAGAUACGGCCCAGACUCCUACGGGAGGCAGCAGUCGGGAAUAUUGCGCAAUGGAGGAAACUCUGACGCAGUGACGCCGCGUAUAGGAAGAAGGUUUUCGGAUUGUAAACUAUUGUCAUUAGGGAAGAAAAAAGACUGUACCUAAGGAGGAAGCCCCGGCUAACUAUGUG